AUUGAACGCUGGCGGCAGGCCUAACACAUGCAAGUCGAGCGGAUGAAGGGAGCUUGCUCCUGGAUUCAGCGGCGGACGGGUGAGUAAUGCCUAGGAAUCUGCCUGGUAGUGGGGGAUAACGUCCGGAAACGGGCGCUAAUACCGCACACGUCCUGAGGGAGAAAGUGGGGGAUCUUCGGACCUCACGCUAUCAGAUGACCCUAGGUCGGAUUAGCUAGUUGGUGGGGUAAAGGCCUACCAAGGCGACGAUCCGUAACUGGUCUGAGAGGAUGAUCAGUCACACUGGAACUGAGACACGGUCCAGACUCCUACGGGAGGCAGCAGUGGGGAAUAUUGGACAAUGGGCGAAAGCUUGAUCCAGCCAUGCCGCGUGUGUGAAGAAGGUCUUCGGAUUGUAAAGCACUUUAAGUUGGGAGGAAGGGCAGUAAGUUAAUACCUUGCUGUUUUGACGUUACCAACAGAAUAAGCACCGGCUAACUUCGUG
This 484-nucleotide ribosomal RNA is filed under the name uncultured bacterium. RNAcentral's name for it is "partial 16S ribosomal RNA". It matches the Rfam family "Bacterial small subunit ribosomal RNA", at positions 30 to 507 of the family's 1533-position model. The record is from RNAcentral.